GAUGAACGCUGGCGGCGUGCCUAACACAUGCAAGUCGAGCGAACAGACGAGAAGUUUGCUCCUUAGACGAUUGCGGCGGACGGGUGAGAAACGCGUGGGAAACCCCCCUCUAUGCCUGGGAAAACUUCGGGACUGCGGCGCUUACCCCGGAUAACAUAUUGAACCGUGUGGUUCAGGAGUGAAAGUCGGUUUUGCUGUCACUUCUAGAUGGAUCCGCGCCGCAUUAGCUAGUUGGUAAGGUAACGGCUUACCAAGGCAACGAGGCGUAGCCGACCUGAGAGGGGGAGCGGCCACGCGGGAGCUGAGGCACGGUCCAGGCUCCUACGGGAGGCAACAGUAGGGAGUCUGCCGGAAUGGGCGAAAGCCGGACGGAGCGACGCCGCGUGAGUGAUGAAGGUCUUCUGAUCGUUAACCUCUGUUAUGUUGGAAGAACAAUUGUGUAAGUAACUAUGCACGUCUUGACGGUACCUAAUCAGGAAGCCACGGCUAACUACGUG
This 497-nucleotide ribosomal RNA is filed under the name uncultured bacterium. RNAcentral's name for it is "partial 16S ribosomal RNA". It matches the Rfam family "Bacterial small subunit ribosomal RNA", at positions 28 to 507 of the family's 1533-position model. The record is from RNAcentral.